CCGCCAGGUCCUCACGGGCCUCGGAGAACUCCCCCUCCUCCAUGCCCUCACCGACAUACCAGUGCACAAAGGCGCGCUUGGCAUACAUGAGGUCGAACUUGCGGUCGAUGCGGGAGAACACCUCAGCGACGCUGGUGGAGUUGGAGAUCAUGCACACAGCGCGCUGCACCUUGGCGAGGUCACCACCCGGCACCACUGUCGGUGCCUGGUAGUUGAUGCCGCACUUGAACCCUGUUGGGCACCAGUCCACAAACUGGAUCGUGCGCUUCGUCUUGAUGGUGGCCACCGCCGCGUUCACAUCCUUGGGCACCACAUCGCCACGGU
This 324-nucleotide long non-coding RNA is filed under the name Setaria italica (foxtail millet). Its description in RNAcentral is "long non-coding RNA (SITA_LNC006447)". Lineage: Eukaryota; Viridiplantae; Streptophyta; Magnoliopsida; Poales; Poaceae. The record is from RNAcentral.